This 253-nucleotide ribosomal RNA is filed under the name uncultured bacterium. Its description in RNAcentral is "partial 16S ribosomal RNA". It matches the Rfam family "Bacterial small subunit ribosomal RNA", at positions 524 to 776 of the family's 1533-position model. The record is from RNAcentral.
GACGUAGGGCGCGAGCGUUGUCCGGAUUUAUUGGGCGUAAAGAGCUCGUAGGCGGCUUGUCGCGUCGACUGUGAAAACCCGCGGCUCAACCCCGAGCCUGCAGUCGAUACGGGCAGACUAGAGUGCGGUAGGGGAGACUGGAAUUCCUGGUGUAGCGGUGAAAUGCGCAGAUAUCAGGAGGAACACCGGUGGCGAAGGCGGGUCUCUGGGCCGUAACUGACGCUGAGGAGCGAAAGCGUGGGGAGCAAACAGG